CCUACGGGAGGCAGCAGUAGGGAAUCUUCCGCAAUGGGCGAAAGCCUGACCGAGCAACGCCGCGUGAAUGAUGAAGGCCUUCGGGUUGUAAACUCCUGUUAUAAGGGAAGAAAGGUGCUAGGUGGAACUGACUAUCACUUGACGGUACCUUACGAGCAACCCACGGCGAACUACGUGCCAGCAGCCGCGGUAAUACGUAGGUGGCAAGCGUUAUCCGGAAUUAUUGGGCGUAAAGAGCGCGCAGGUGGUUAAUUAAGUCUGAUGUGAAAGCCCACGGCUUAACCGUGGAGGGGCAUUGGAAACUGGUUGACUUGAGUGCAGAAGAGGGAAGUGGAAUUCCAGGUGUAGGGGUGAAAUGCGUAGAGAUAUGGAGGAACACCAGUGGCGAAGGCGACUUCCUGGUCUGCAACUGACACUGAGGCGCGAAAGCGUGGGGAGCAAACAGGAUUAGAUACCCCUGUAGUC
RNAcentral lists this ribosomal RNA (465 nucleotides) under uncultured bacterium. RNAcentral describes it as "partial 16S ribosomal RNA". It matches the Rfam family "Bacterial small subunit ribosomal RNA", at positions 338 to 795 of the family's 1533-position model. The record is from RNAcentral.